GUGAACGAGCUGACCCACAAAUCGGAACUACUUGAAGAUGAACUUGCAAAGGCUAGUAAUCAAUUAAGGGAGGUCAGGGCUACCGCUGAUUUAGAAAACUUGAAGUGCAAAGCAGCGAACGAAAUUAUCAGUGUCCUUAAAACUCAGAUCAAAGCUAUGACACCAAGAACACCUGAGGAGUGUACUUUGAAAGGCAGUUGGCCUGAUCAUGUAUCUAAGUUGUUUGGAAGUCAUUCCUGCGACAAUAAUUUGCAGGAUGUUCAUAGGCCACCUGAUUCCAGUGGCCAGCAGGCUCAUCGAUCGUCCUGCAAUGGAAAUUGCAUUGUAGCCGAUGCAGAAUGGAUGGAACAGGUUGAACCUGGUGUUUACAUCACUGUGUUCCGCUCACCUGCAGGUCAGAAGUACCUCAGGCGUGUGCGUUUUAGUAAGAGACGUUUCACAGAACAACAAGCAGAACUAUGGUGGGCCGACCACCGAUCAACCCUGCAAGAGCAAUAUGGUAUUCUGCCUGGAGACAGUAUCUUCCCAUCAAGAACAAUUCGGGAAAAGGGAUAGGAUAAUAUCUUUGACUAAUUGGUGCAUAUAUCGACUUUUCCUGCCAGAAAAUGUAUAUGCCUUCCCUUUUUCUUGAGCAAAAAAUGUAUGUCUUCUUGGAGGUGAUUUCCUGUUCUUUCUUCUGGGUAGCAAUGGGAGGUGUGUGCUGGAGAUUGAGCUCACUGAAUUCCUUGGCCUCAUCCCACUCCAUCCAGAUGGAUAUUACUCGAGGCUUCCAUCGUUGUGUUCUCUGUACAAAAGAUACAGCAAAUGAUGAGGUUUUUCGAAAAGAGGAAGAUACGAAGAUGGCUGUAUAUCUCGUAGUUGUGGCCAUUUGUAUAGCUAAACUGCCAUGAGUUGUCUGAGUUAGUUUGUGCAAAAUGUCUCUGCAGAGGUGGUUAACAUAGGUAAUCCGUGUGUUCUGGAGCUUCAGUGUGGCCUUUCCCCGUACGCCCCGGCUCCUCUUCUCGUACUUGAUCUGGCACCCUGCAGCUACUUGACCCUGUCAUAAUAUGG
This is a long non-coding RNA of Panicum virgatum (switchgrass), 1050 nucleotides long. RefSeq lists it as uncharacterized. Lineage: Eukaryota; Viridiplantae; Streptophyta; Magnoliopsida; Poales; Poaceae. The transcript has 3 exons. The record is from RefSeq and is a predicted model, not a curated record.